Molecule: transfer RNA, 77 nt
Filed under: Firmicutes bacterium ADurb.Bin182
Lineage: Bacteria; Bacillati; Bacillota
Description: tRNA-Val
Rfam family: tRNA
About the family: Transfer RNA (tRNA) molecules are approximately 80 nucleotides in length. Their secondary structure includes four short double-helical elements and three loops (D, anti-codon, and T loops).
Source: RNAcentral
GGGGAUGUGGCUCAGCCGGUUAGAGCGCUUCGUUCACAUCGAAGAGGCCGGGGGUUCGAAUCCCUCCAUCCCCACCA